UGAGCAAUCUGCCCUUCUCUUUGGAAUAAGCGUUGGAAACGACGUCUAAUGCCGAAUACGACCUCCUUUCGCAUGAUCGGAGGUGGAAAGCUCCGGCGGAGAAGGAUGAGCUCGCGGCCUAUCAGCUAGUUGGUGUGGGUAAUGGCCCACCAAGGCGACGACGGGUAGCCGGCCUGAGAGGGUGACCCGCCACACUGGGACUGAGACACGGCCCAGACCUCCGUACGGGAGGNAGCG
RNAcentral lists this ribosomal RNA (237 nucleotides) under uncultured bacterium. Its description in RNAcentral is "partial 16S ribosomal RNA". It matches the Rfam family "Bacterial small subunit ribosomal RNA", at positions 118 to 353 of the family's 1533-position model. The record is from RNAcentral.